CGCGAAAUGAAUGAAUAAAAACGGCAGACUUCAGCGUAUAACGUUUACUGUACACAACUAAAAAGAAAGACGAAGAGAAGAGCAGUCUAAUACGAGCCCCUCUUUAGUUACAAGCAGCCUACGAGACUCGUCUCUGGCUGCUCUCGAUAAGCCUCCGCGCCAAACCGGACAGCACGACUGAAGCGAGUAUCCAAAAGCGUCCGAAAAGUACGAGCAGUGCAGCGGCGCAGCUCCGCCCCGAGGUGGCCUGGAUCUGGAGUGAUCAAGUGCGAGGAGCAGCCAACUCUUCUAGGACACCCCCACCUCCGACACCUCCGUCAGCGGCGGCACGCCUUGCAGCAUCAGAGACGGUGCUGAUGGAGGAAGAGGAGAGAGGGCGAGAGGUUUCCCAGAGACUAUGGGUUGAGGAGGAAGUGGAAGUUUGUCGGCUUAGACCUGGUGUCAUUCCAUCAGUGUUAAACUUCCCGGCUCAUCUUGGAAGAGUACGUGCCAGAAAGACCACGACCAAGCAGCCUUGAGAUCUUAGACAGCGUCUCCCUCAGGUCCCUCUCUAUCUCCCCACACAUCCACCAACCACUGGAACACAUCUCCAAAGUUCUGCCGGGCCAGCUCAGCUUCCCCUCAGAAGAAGUGCCGCCACCUGCCAGAUGAAGGAGCCUUUUGAGAG
Amphiprion ocellaris (clown anemonefish) is the source of this 667-nucleotide long non-coding RNA. NCBI's taxonomy places the organism in Eukaryota, Metazoa, Chordata, Actinopteri, Pomacentridae. The record is from Ensembl.